Molecule: long non-coding RNA, 1249 nt
Filed under: Struthio camelus australis
Lineage: Eukaryota; Metazoa; Chordata; Aves; Struthioniformes; Struthionidae
Description: lncRNA (ENSSCUG00000000575.1)
Source: RNAcentral
CUGCUCUCAGUGAGAAUUUGCAUGGCUAACCAGGCAAGAGAGUGCUGCAUACACAUCUUUGCUUUGAUUUAAUUGUGGAGCACUUUCGUUCUGUGAUGUUCUUCAUUCCACAGGGGACAAUCUAGUUUAUUGUGUGACUUGCCUCCAGAAAUCACAUAGAUUGGGUACAGAGAAGCAUUCUUCAUUCAGAACGGGAUUUUGUGAAACUACGAUUCAGCACAGGAUCAUGACGACCGGCCUGCCCAAUUGACUUCCUAGGGAAGAGGAAUGUGAUACUGGUGCUGGAUAGAGCUAGCAAUCAGAGGAAAGGGUGGUGUGCUUGCCAUUCUUAGGGAUGAGUGAAAAUAGCUGAAGUUUAUGUGAGAUUUUUAUCCAUUUGCAAGGUAAGAAGAAUUCAUUUGCAUUAAGAAAUCAGCAUGAGCUGGAUUUUUUUAACAAGAUUCACAGUGGUACUGGAACCAAAAUAAACAUUUGUUUUCUAGAGCAGCUGUUGUUUUUUUUGGAUACCACUAAUGUGUAUGUAUCCGAAACUACUUGAAGUCUACGAGAUGCUGAUGCAUACACCCAGCAGCAGCCUUGGAACUCUUGAGGACAUAUCUGUGGGUCAGCUUACAGGAAAGAUUUUACACGAUUCUCCACAAGCAGGAAGAGGGAACAGCAACAUGCCAGCAAGAGAGAUGUUUUCAUCCAGAGGGCAAUGAGUUUGGUUUCUGCAAGUUUUCCAGGUUUUUGUGAUGCCCCGAGAACUGCAGGAGUAAUUUUCUCACCAUUUUCUAUGCAUUUCAAGAUCUUACAGCCUAUCCCACAGGAAGAAGAGGAAAAGACUGAGCACAUAAGGAAUUGAGAACAGUGUGAGUUUCAGUGCAAAGAAUUUGUGACCUAGAAUCAUUCACCCCCUGGCAUCAAUACAGUCCGAGGCCACCCUAUGAACUGAUGUUCUUGGCAAAUUUUCCUUUGCAAAGAUGGCUUGCUUUCCUAGUGAACGUUUUCAUAGGUCUGUUUUGUCCUGAUCAUCAGUACUGAGUUUCUUGCCUUCAACUAUGAAAAAAGCUAUGAAAACUCAUGCUUUCUGAUAAAAUCAGCUUGUAUAGUAUACUAUACAAGUGACAAGGCUGAACCUCUCGCAUGGCAAAAGAUCUGUUGGAAGUGCUAUGUGUGCAUUUCCUACUUUCUUACAUUGACAGACUGUUGCUCAUAAUGAGUAUUUCCUGUGAGUACAUGAGAAAGAAAUGAAUAUUUAGUCAACAUC